CAGUAGCCGCGGUAACACGGAGGGUGCAAGCGUUAAUCGGAAUUACUGGGCGUAAAGCGCACGCAGGCGGUCUGACAAGUCAGAUGUGAAAUCCCCGGGCUUAACCUGGGAACUGCAUUUGAAACUGUCAGGCUGGAGUCUUGUAGAGGGGGGUAGAAUUCCAGGUGUAGCGGUGAAAUGCGUAGAGAUCUGGAGGAAUACCGGUGGCGAAGGCGGCCCCCUGGACAAAGACUGACGCUCAGGUGCGAAAGCGUGGGGAGCAAACAGGAUUAGAGACCCCUGUAGUCCCUGUCUCUUAUAC
Molecule: ribosomal RNA, 301 nt
Filed under: uncultured bacterium
Lineage: Bacteria
Description: partial 16S ribosomal RNA
Rfam family: Bacterial small subunit ribosomal RNA
Source: RNAcentral